AGUGAUUAAUUGAAGGCCUCUGUGCCCUCUUGUUUAUUUUAAAAGAACAAGGGGAAGCUUCAUUUGCAUGAGAUUUAAGGAAAAGGCUUCUGAGGUUCUUUGGUUAUUUGCAGACUUUCGUUCCAAGUGGAAACUGAUGUUUCUAUUGAUGCAGUGCCUCACUUGGUGUUGGACGUUUCUAUUGAUGCAGUGCCUCACUUGGUGUUGGACGGCAGGGGAAAGAAUUUGAAAUCAGCUCUAUGCCAUGAGGGACUGUAGUGCCAGGAGGCCCUAGCUGGCUGCAGGUCUUCACGCUGGUAUCAGCAUAAUGCCACACUGCCCAUCCCAGUCUCUGACCCAACAGAUGUUCCUUCCUGGUAGGAAUAUAUUAGUUGGUGAUUAGCCCUCAGCUAACUACUGCCAGUCCUCCUCUUUUUGCUGAGGAAGCCUUUAUAUGUGGGACGCCUACCACAGCAUGGCGUGCCCAGCGGUGCCAUGUCCUCACCCGGGAUCCGAACCAGCGAACCCCGGGCCGCCGAGAAGCAGAACGUGCGAACUUAACCACUGCACCACUGGGCGGCCCCAUAAAUCAAAUUUUCUUUUGUUGCUAAUACAACAAAGAUUUACUUUUAAUCAGUGACUCGAAGCAGGCGAGAGAGAAAUCUAGCAGGUAGUGAGACAAGACAAACGUACUUUUUGGAUAUCAGUCUAGAAUUUUUUCAAACAUAAUUUAGAAAAACUUACAGUCCAUCUCAGAUUUAUUCUUUCAAGGACAGAGGUUUCUACACUUGUUAGAAGUUUUGAAAUUAUAAGUAGCCAUCUCAAGAACCUUUAGCAAUAAUUAUCUCUUAAGAUCAAAAUUGAUCCUCAUUGUCUCAUUUUCUCCAAGCUUAGCUAAGUAUCUGUGGGUGUAUUUGUACAAUAGUGUAGCUGGUGAACAUACCAACAUUUUAAUAGUGGCUUUCUGCACACAUAAUGAACAAUGCAUAUGAAGGCAUGGGUGAAACAUAGUGAUUUUAGGGGUAUCAGCAGCACUUACCCAGCUGGGUCAUCAAAUUUUUUCAUGACAGAUAGGCCUUUUAAUAUCCUACAAACAGCAGUGAAGGAUGGUCACACAGACAGACUAUGCCUAGACUUUUUAGGCCCAUUUAUCCUGAUAUCCACUUUAUCCUUCACUAGGAUGUCAUUACGAAGAAAGGUUACACUUAAGACACUGGGAUUAUUAUGAAGGAUUGAAAGAAGACAAGACAUUCCAGUUCACACCAACUGCAUUUCAUGUGUCAUCACCACAAAUUUGGCAAGGCUUAUUAGGGCAUAUGUUGAAUUAAUUGUGCUGCCUCAUGCUGCUUAAUUAAAGUCUGAGGAAUUUUGAUUAGUUGCAUUGAAGGAAUAGCAUAACCAGGUAUACAAUUUCACUGUUCUUUUUCUUGUUUCUUAACCUUCUAAAGAUUUCAUCUUUAGUGAUAGUGUUUGUGGGCCAUCAGGUUAACCCAGAGGUAUCCCUAUUCAAUAGGAGAGAAGCUACUAAGCCCAAAGGAUUUUACUGUGAAUCUGUUCAUUAGACAAGACACAGUUCACAGAUCAGUUACAAAUGUGGAUUUCAGCCCAAAAUUCCUGCAGAGAUCAAAGCAAAGGCUUUUGUCUUUCCGCGUUUCACAUUACAUUUUGGGACUUGAAUCCUAAUACUUUAAAAGAUUUUGCUUAUCUGUUCUUUCUGUAACAUUUUAAAAGCCCUAUAGGUAAGAUGGACCUGAGUUCACUUGUUAAAUGCAAAUGUGGCAUAUGUCAUUUGUAUUUAAGUGACUUUAACAUCCUGGAAUAUUACCUAGAGGUUUGCCUUCUAAAUGGAUAUGAAGAAUAGUUUAAUGAAGUCAGUUACAAGUUAAACUAAUCUUUUUUUUUUGAGGCUGUAUAAAUGGGCUUAAUGCAUUAAACUCCAUGAAAACAUUGAUUUAAAAAAAGGAAAA
Molecule: long non-coding RNA, 1946 nt
Organism: Equus asinus (donkey)
Lineage: Eukaryota; Metazoa; Chordata; Mammalia; Perissodactyla; Equidae
Source: Ensembl